This 402-nucleotide ribosomal RNA is filed under the name Babesia bigemina. RNAcentral's name for it is "partial small subunit ribosomal RNA". It matches the Rfam family "Eukaryotic small subunit ribosomal RNA", at positions 452 to 924 of the family's 1831-position model. Lineage: Eukaryota; Apicomplexa; Aconoidasida; Piroplasmida; Babesiidae. The record is from RNAcentral.
UGACACAGGGGGGUAGUGACAAGAAAUAACAAUACAGGGCUUUCGUCUUGUAUUGGAUGAUGGUGAUGUACAACCUCACCAGAGUACCAAUUGGAGGGCAAGUCUGGUGCCAGCAGCCGCGGUAAUUCCAGCUCCAAUAGCGUAUAUUAAACUUGUUGCAGUUAAAAAGCUCGUAGUUGUAUUUCAGCCUCGCGUUUUUUCCCUGGUUUUGGGUCUUUUCGCUGGCUUUUUUUUUACUUUGAGAAAAUUAGAGUGUUUCAAGCAGACUUUUGUCUUGAAUACUUCAGCAUGGAAUAAUAGAGUAGGACCUUGGUUCUAUUUUGUUGGUUUCGAGCCUUGGUAAUGGUUAAUAGGAACGGUUGGGGGCAUUCGUAUUUAACUGUCAGAGGUGAAAUUCUUAGA